Molecule: ribosomal RNA, 490 nt
Filed under: uncultured bacterium
Lineage: Bacteria
Description: partial 16S ribosomal RNA
Rfam family: Bacterial small subunit ribosomal RNA
Source: RNAcentral
AUUGAACGCUGGCGGCAGGCCUAACACAUGCAAGUCGAACGGUAACAGGAAGCAGCUUGCUGCUUUGCUGACGAGUGGCGGACGGGUGAGUAAUGUCUGGGAAACUGCCUGAUGGAGGGGGAUAACUACUGGAAACGGUAGCUAAUACCGCAUAACGUCGCAAGACCAAAGAGGGGGACCUUCGGGCCUCUUGCCAUCGGAUGUGCCCAGAUGGGAUUAGCUAGUAGGUGGGGUAACGGCUCACCUAGGCGACGAUCCCUAGCUGGUCUGAGAGGAUGACCAGCCACACUGGAACUGAGACGCGGUCCAGACUCCUACGGGAGGCAGCAGUGGGGAAUAUUGCACGAUGGGCGCAAGCCUGAUGCAGCCAUGCCGCGUGUAUGAAGAAGGCCUUCGGGUUGUAAAGUACUUUCAGCGGGGAGGAAGGGAGUAAAGUUAAUACCUUUGCUCAUUGACGUUACCCGCAGAAGAAGCACCGGCUAACUCCGUG